Molecule: ribosomal RNA, 253 nt
Filed under: uncultured bacterium
Lineage: Bacteria
Description: partial 16S ribosomal RNA
Rfam family: Bacterial small subunit ribosomal RNA
Source: RNAcentral
UACGGAGGGUGCAAACGUUGCUCGGAAUCAUUGGGCGUAAAGCGCGUGUAGGCGGCAAAAUAAGUCGAGUGUGAAAGCCCUGGGCUCAACCCAGGAAGUGCGCUCGAAACUGUUUAGCUUGAGUACGGGAGAGGGUAAUGGAAUUCCCGGUGUAGAGGUGAAAUUCGUAGAUAUCGGGAGGAACACCAGUGGCGAAGGCGGUUACCUGGACCGAUACUGACGCUGAGACGCGAAAGCGUGGGUAGCAAACAGG